RNAcentral lists this ribosomal RNA (497 nucleotides) under uncultured bacterium. Its description in RNAcentral is "partial 16S ribosomal RNA". It matches the Rfam family "Bacterial small subunit ribosomal RNA", at positions 28 to 507 of the family's 1533-position model. The record is from RNAcentral.
GACGAACGCUGGCGGCGUGCCUAAUACAUGCAAGUUGAGCGCUGAAGGUUGGUACUUGUACCAACUGGAUGAGCAGCGAACGGGUGAGUAACGCGUGGGGAAUCUGCCUUUGAGCGGGGGACAACAUUUGGAAACGAAUGCUAAUACCGCAUAAAAACUUUAAACACAAGUUUUAAGUUUGAAAGAUGCAAUUGCAUCACUCAAAGAUGAUCCCGCGUUGUAUUAGCUAGUUGGUGAGGUAAAGGCUCACCAAGGCGAUGAUACAUAGCCGACCUGAGAGGGUGAUCGGCCACAGUGGGACUGAGACACGGCCCAAACGCCUACGGGAGGCAGCAGUAGGGAAUCUUCGGCAAUGGACGAAAGGCUGACCGAGCAACGCCGCGUGAGUGAAGAAGGGUUUCGGAUCGUAAAACUCUGUUGGUAGAGAAGAACGUUGGUGAGAGUGGAAAGCUCAUCAAGUGACGGUAACUACCCAGAAAGGGACGGCUAACUACGUG